CUGUGCACGUCACUCUUCCGCAUUUUAUUACAGUAUUCGAGUUUGAUUUAUGACAGCUUUUGAUGUGUGCCAUGGCCUUAUGGUUUUAUACGCGUUGCCUUCAGGACUUACCAAGGAUCACAGUUAAUGAUGUCCAUAAAAUAGUUAAACUGUGCAGCAAAGCUCCAUCAUGCAAACUGGAAAAGGAUUUUAAAAUGUACGUUUCCAGCUACCUCUGCAACUACGAGGAUUGUGCUAAAGGAUUCAGACCCAGUAAUACCGACACAUCACCACUGUUCAUGUGCAGCAGGAAGUGCCUUGUGCACCGUUUUUUUCCAGACAGCUCACUAUUUGCAGCUCGGACCAGCUGUUGUUCCUCCAGUUCACAGCUGUACUGAAACAGAAAAAAGGUUGCACAAACCAAAAACCAUGGGUGUGCAACCUGGACCCAUUGGUAACACUUUAUAUUAAGGUGCUGCUUAUUAAUGUUUCAUAACUAUAUAAUAUAUGCUUAAUGACUAUGUUAUAAAUCAUUAAUAAAGCAUUAUAUAUCGUUUAUAACCAUCCAAUAGCCAUAAACUAGAGUGAGACCGAUAGGAGCUGAGAGAAGCCAAAAAAAGGGGGCGGAUCUGAGCAAUACACAUAGCCCCGGCACCACAGAGAUAACACGGCCAUAAAAAAACAGGAUAGCUGCUUCCGCAU
Acipenser ruthenus (sterlet) is the source of this 681-nucleotide long non-coding RNA. RefSeq lists it as uncharacterized. The record is from RefSeq and is a predicted model, not a curated record. The transcript is spliced from 3 exons. NCBI's taxonomy places the organism in Eukaryota, Metazoa, Chordata, Actinopteri, Acipenseriformes, Acipenseridae.